CUCAUCAUUGGGAACUUCAGUAGUCUCAACUGAGAUUUCAGUUGUACACUCCUUCACUUCAUAUUCCUUUGCUUCAGAGCUCUCCUCUGAACUCUGAACCUCAGGAACCCCAUUGAUAGGCUCAUAGGACUCUAGAACAUCAUGAUGAUUGGGAACAGUUUCAUGAUUUAAAUCAUGGGAAACAUCAUUCGAAUAAACUAUGACACAAUCUGGCUCCUUGUCCAUGCAUAUAUCUGUAACUUCUACUCCCAUUGCAGGAUUAAGGUCCGAUCUGAGAAGAAAUGAAGGGGCAGAGUUUGCGCUGGUAGUUCCUUGGUUUUAUUUGCCUUACCCAGCUGUGCGCGUGUUAAUGUGCGG
RNAcentral lists this unclassified non-coding RNA (357 nucleotides) under Hevea brasiliensis (rubber tree). The record is from RNAcentral. Lineage: Eukaryota; Viridiplantae; Streptophyta; Magnoliopsida; Malpighiales; Euphorbiaceae.